Molecule: long non-coding RNA, 712 nt
Filed under: Rattus norvegicus (Norway rat)
Lineage: Eukaryota; Metazoa; Chordata; Mammalia; Rodentia; Muridae
Description: long non-coding RNA NONRATT013838
Source: RNAcentral
AAGAAGACAGCCGAGCCUGCUGUGUGAGGGCCAGGCAGCGCAUAGAACAGGUACUUGACUGCGUCCAACCUUUCUGGGCAGCUAGGUAGGCCCAGUAGGAGGGAGUUGGAGAGAGACUCCCUUCCUCAGGUCUGGGACUGUAGAUACCGCAGCAACAUGCAAAGGGUCCACCCUGAACGAGUCUACUGGCUAAGGAGCUGGUGCCCCUCCCUUGGUUUUGUUCCCUUUUGUGGAGAAAAAGGGGUCAGGAAAGCUGACCAAAGCCUGGUUUGUUUUCUUCUCCUAGAGUCUUGGCAGAGCGUGACCAUCCCCAGGCCUCUGACCUCUGGGCACUGUGAGUUGGGACUGGACUUUUUAAUUUGCCCUCCCUCGGCAGAAGGUGAUGGCUGGCGUUGCUGCUAGCCAAGCCAGUGAGCCUGCAGGGAAGCCGCAGUUCCAGGAGGAAGUGAGACAAGAACACGCCCCCUCUGAGUACUACAUGAGAUGUGUACAGUAUAUAUAUUUUUUUAAGUGACUUGCCUCUCCCCCUUCAAAUCAACAUGCGCAGAGGCCUCGGGACCUCCCUCCACAUUAUUCUGCAGACUCAGCAAGGUCCUGUGUGUGGUUCAUCCCAUACCCUGGAUCCCUGACUUAUCCUGAGGCCUUGUUCCAUCAGUUUUUCCAACUGUUUUGUUUUUUUAAAAAAGAACUCAAAAUAAAAGACUUUAAAUAU